GGUAAUANAUCGGCAAUGGUCUAUGAGAGUUUCCCACGGGUGCGUAACACGUAUGCAACCUACCCUUUACAGGAGUAUAGCUCGGGGAAACUCGAAUUAAUGCUCCAUGAAAUAGUUGAAUGGCAUCAUUUGAUUAUUAAAGCUGAGGUGGUAAAGGAUGGGCAUGCGUCUGAUUAGCUAGUUGGUAGUGUAACGGACUACCAAGGCGAUGAUCAGUAGGGGAACUGAGAGGUUGACCCCCCACACUGGCACUGAGAUACGGGCCAGACUCCUACGGGAGGCAGCAGUAGGGAAUAUUGGUCAAUGGGUGAGAGCCUGAACCAGCCAUGCCGCGUGCAGGAAGACGGCCUUCUGGGUUGUAAACUGCUUUUGCCAGGGGCUAAAAAGUCCAUGCGUGGAAAAUUGAAAGUACCUGGUGAAUAAGCCACGGCUAACUACGUGCCAGCAGCCGCGGUAAUACGUAGGUGGCAAGCGUUGUCCGGAUUUAUUGGGUUUAAAGGGUGCGUAGGCGGCUCUGUNAAGUCAGUGCUGAAAUAUCCCGGCUUAACUGGGAGGGUGGCAUUUGAUACUGUGGGGCUAGAGUACA
This 586-nucleotide ribosomal RNA is filed under the name uncultured Marivirga sp. RNAcentral's name for it is "bacterial SSU rRNA". It matches the Rfam family "Bacterial small subunit ribosomal RNA", at positions 68 to 650 of the family's 1533-position model. Lineage: Bacteria; Pseudomonadati; Bacteroidota; Cytophagia; Cytophagales; Marivirgaceae. The record is from RNAcentral.